RNAcentral lists this transfer RNA (68 nucleotides) under Histeridae sp. BMNH 1274329. RNAcentral describes it as "tRNA-Val". Lineage: Eukaryota; Metazoa; Arthropoda; Insecta; Coleoptera; Histeridae. The record is from RNAcentral.
CAAUCUAGAGCUUGUUUAAGCAUUUUAUUUACAUUAAGAAGUAAGGUUAUUCAAUUAACUUAGUUUGA